UACGAAGGGGGCUAGCGUUGCUCGGAAUGACUGGGCGUAAAGGGCGCGUAGGCGGAUUGUACAGUCAGGCGUGAAAUUCCCGGGCUCAACCUGGGGGCUGCGCUUGAGACGUGCGAUCUUGAGUGGGGAAGAGGGUCGUGGAAUUCCCAGUGUAGAGGUGAAAUUCGUAGAUAUUGGGAAGAACACCGGUGGCGAAGGCGGCGACCUGGUCCUUGACUGACGCUGAGGCGCGAAGGCGUGGGGAGCAAACAGG
This 253-nucleotide ribosomal RNA is filed under the name uncultured bacterium. RNAcentral's name for it is "partial 16S ribosomal RNA". It matches the Rfam family "Bacterial small subunit ribosomal RNA", at positions 524 to 776 of the family's 1533-position model. The record is from RNAcentral.